Astyanax mexicanus (Mexican tetra) is the source of this 995-nucleotide long non-coding RNA. RefSeq lists it as uncharacterized. The record is from RefSeq and is a predicted model, not a curated record. Lineage: Eukaryota; Metazoa; Chordata; Actinopteri; Characiformes; Acestrorhamphidae. The transcript has 4 exons.
UAGUUGUGAGGUGGGGUGAGAAUUGCAGCAGCGACAACUAAUCCCCUCACAUCUAAUCCCUCUCCAGCUCCAGCUCAGCUUGUGAAAUGACCAUUAAUGACAAAAACACAUUAAGCAAUUCCCUCAAGGCUCAUUAAGAUUCGAGCUAAACCCACUGUUAUUACCCUUAUUACUCAGAAUAAUGCAAUAUCCUGCGGGUGAAGCCUUGUGAGGGUGGUGCACAUGCAAAACAGAGAGGAAAGAAAUGUAUUUUCAUUUCAUUCUCCUACAGAGAUACAGAGCUUCUCUUACAACAGCUGAACAGGAGGUUCACGAGAGAAAUGCAUUAUCCCAGAAUGGCCAGUUCAUUACUGCUGUCUGUCCUGUGUCUGACACUGCCUGCCACUGUUUCUCCUCAUCAUGGAUAUAAAUUCUCUGCAAGUGACGAGAGGUUCUACUGGCCUCCGUAUCCUGGGUUCCAUCAUUAUCCAAGUGUCCCACCAUCUUGGAUUCCUUGGUUUACUGUGCUUUUUCCUUUUAAUCCUGCCCCCGCCCCGGCUCCUGCCCCGGCUCCUGCCCCGGCUCCUGCCACCACACCUGGUCCAGUGGUCACUCGUGGAGACGGCUAGAAGAUACCAUACAGUAGAUCUGGAUUUCACUUAUAAAAACAAUUAAUUUAAUAGUUUUUACAGAAAAAGGAACAGAAGUAAUGGGAUAGGAUGAUUUCUAAUUAUGAAAAUCAUGCUGUUUUGAAGCAUCAUGAUUAUCAGUAUUGUAAAAUUACAUACACUAAUGGUCAGAUGUUUUACAACGCCCCAGACUACCAGUGCUUUAAUAUAUAUAUAGUGCCCUGUAUAGGCAUGUCUAACAGUCAACCAUCUCUCACUAAGAGGUACACUACCCAAAAAAGUCCUCUCUUAAUCCAGACAUUAGACACCAUGAAGUUUAUGCUCUUUUUGUUUUACAAUACCAAAAUAUUUUUCUAAUUUUAUUCCAAAUCAUGUUAACAUAGUGUU